AAAAAAAAAAACAAGUCAGACAUUUUUAUCUGUGUCCAAGAUAACCCUGUUAAUAAAUACAUGCUACUUCAGUCAAUCAAUAGUGUCUGAAAUUUACAUAGAAAGGCAGCAGUUGUCCUAAGAUAACACUAUCAGUAGAAACAUGAAACUUCAGUUAGUCAUUCGAUUCUCAUGUUUACAUAAACGAUGAGGGUGUCGAGUCAGCUAGUCGUAGAGGAUCUUAUGAAAUAAACAUUUUUUAACUUAGGAGCAUGAUUAUGUUGCUAAUAUAAUGUCCAUCUUCAACUACAAGGCAGGGUUGUUCUUGCCAGGAGAGAAAACCACUGUGAAUGCAAUGCAGUAAUUUAGCAGCAGACGCUAAGGUCCUGCAUGUUGGAUUCGUCUACCAAGCACAUUAUCACAGAAUGCACUUUGACAGCAGUUGAUGAUGGUGAAGAAACUUUUCCACACAGCUCAGAAAUGUCAGUCCACUGUACUGUCUCUCUACAACUCAACCAAAUGAAAACAUGGCAGAUGUAUGUUCUGUGUAUGUUGACAACAGAAUCAAAA
Lates calcarifer (barramundi perch) is the source of this 549-nucleotide long non-coding RNA. RefSeq lists it as uncharacterized. The record is from RefSeq and is a predicted model, not a curated record. NCBI's taxonomy places the organism in Eukaryota, Metazoa, Chordata, Actinopteri, Centropomidae. The transcript is spliced from 3 exons.